GAUGAGAACGCAGCGAAAUGCGAUAAGUAAUGCGAAUUGCAGAAUUCAGUGAAUCAUCGAAUCUUUGAACGCACAUUGCGCCCGCCAGUAUUCUGGCGGGCAUGCCUGUCUGAGCGUCGUUUCGACCCUCGCGCCCGGCUUCUGUCGGGGGCGGUGUUGGGGAUCGGCCACACCCUUCAGUGGGAGGCCGGCCCCUAAAUUCAGUGGCGACCACGCUGUAGCCUCCCCUGCGUAGUACUAAAACCACCUCGCAGGCGGAGAGCGGUGCGGCCCGCCGUAAAACCCCCCAACUUUUACAAGGUCGACCUCAGAUCAGGUAGGAAUACCCGCUGAACUUAAGCAUAUCAAUAAGCGGAGGA
This 359-nucleotide unclassified non-coding RNA is filed under the name soil metagenome. RNAcentral's name for it is "partial contains 5.8S ribosomal RNA, internal transcribed spacer 2, and large subunit ribosomal RNA". The stretch from base 5 to 119 matches the Rfam family "5.8S ribosomal RNA", at positions 40 to 154 of the family's 154-position model. The record is from RNAcentral.